Molecule: non-coding RNA, 24 nt
Filed under: Arabidopsis thaliana (thale cress)
Lineage: Eukaryota; Viridiplantae; Streptophyta; Magnoliopsida; Brassicales; Brassicaceae
Source: RNAcentral
UGUCAUGGACCUACUGUUAGUGAC